RNAcentral lists this ribosomal RNA (253 nucleotides) under uncultured bacterium. RNAcentral's name for it is "partial 16S ribosomal RNA". It matches the Rfam family "Bacterial small subunit ribosomal RNA", at positions 524 to 776 of the family's 1533-position model. The record is from RNAcentral.
UACAGGGGGUGCAAACGUUGCUCGGAAUCAUUGGGCGUAAAGCGCACGUAGGCGGUUCGUUAUGUCGGAUGUGAAAGCCCUUGGCUUAACUGAGGAAGUGCAUCCGAAACUGGCGAGCUAGAGUACUAAAGAGGAUCGCGGAAUUCCCGGUGUAGAGGUGAAAUUCGUAGAUAUCGGGAGGAACACCGGUGGCGAAGGCGGCGAUCUGGCUCGUUUCUGACGCUCAGGCGCGACAGCGUGGGGAUCAAACAGG